RNAcentral lists this ribosomal RNA (209 nucleotides) under uncultured bacterium. RNAcentral describes it as "partial 16S ribosomal RNA". It matches the Rfam family "Bacterial small subunit ribosomal RNA", at positions 524 to 729 of the family's 1533-position model. The record is from RNAcentral.
UACGAAGGGGGCUAGCGUUGCUCGGAAUUACUGGGCGUAAAGGGCGCGUAGGCGGCACUGUUAGUCAGGCGUGAAAGUCCUGGGCUCAACCUGGGAACUGCGCUUGAUACGGCAGAGCUAGAGGAUGGAAGAGGCUCGCGGAAAUUCCCAGUGUAGAGGUGAAAUUCGUAGAUAUUGGGAAGAACACCGGGUGGGCGAAGGCGGCUCGC